AUACCCAGGACGAUACAUUUCAUAUAUAGAAACUCUGAUCGGAUAUACGGCUUUAUCAAACUCGAGAUCUUCAAAAUUAAUGGAGGAUAUUGAGAUUUUGAAACCACCAGAUUGCUGUAUUAAAAAAGUCAAAACAUGCCGAAUGUUACAAAAUAUGGAUCCCCAAUUAACUUCUUAGAUAUAUCUUUUACAAUUUGUUUGCUAGAACUGUCCUUUUUGAUGUACUCCUGAUCUUGGCCUAAUGAAAUGUUAUAUCUGCUCCUGCUGUCCUUGACAAAUUGUGGUACAGCUCUAUCUUCAUCAACUUCAGGAUAUCGGUACAUAGAGAUAAAUAAAGAAACUGCAGGAUUAUUGUGUUAUGCUGAUCGUGGAAGAAAGUUGCAGAUGAGUUUUAAAAAAUUCCUUUAUGUAAUCUCAAAAGUUUGAUUAAUGUCUGUUGCG
Vollenhovia emeryi is the source of this 441-nucleotide long non-coding RNA. RefSeq lists it as uncharacterized. Lineage: Eukaryota; Metazoa; Arthropoda; Insecta; Hymenoptera; Formicidae. The record is from RefSeq and is a predicted model, not a curated record. The transcript has 4 exons.